Long non-coding RNA from Lontra canadensis (Northern American river otter), 796 nucleotides. RefSeq lists it as uncharacterized. NCBI's taxonomy places the organism in Eukaryota, Metazoa, Chordata, Mammalia, Carnivora, Mustelidae. The transcript is spliced from 2 exons. The record is from RefSeq and is a predicted model, not a curated record.
GUAACCUAAAUAUAAAUAGUGCUUUACUAUUUAUUAAACACUUUCACAUUGUCUCAUUUGAUCUUCACAACCUUGUAGAAUGUGUUGACUUUAACUCCAUUUUACAGAUGAAGAAGCUGGGGCCCAGAGGGCCAUAUCGCUUGUAAAAGGUCACUUGGGUCUUAAGUGGUAGACCUGGCACUUUGUAAUUUAUAAGAACUAAAAUCUUUCAAAAGUGUUACAGAUCCACUCAUGAAGUUCUUAUACCAGCAAUUUUUAUUCUGGAAGCCCUCCCACAAUGAAUGUGGAAAAUGGGUUCUUUGUGUAAUCAGUAGGAGACUGGACUGCAUCAGGAUUUUUCAGCUUCAACAGUCUUGGCAUUUGAAGCAAGAUAAUUCUGUGGAAAGUUGUCCUGUGCUCUGUAGUGUGCUUAGCAGCUUCCCUGGCCUCUAACCACUAGAUGCCAGUAGUGCUCUCUAGUCUCCACAACCAGAAAUCUCUCCAGACACUGUAAAACACUCCCUGAGUGUGGCAUAGUCACUCGUACAUAAGAAUCUCUGAACUACAUAGUGUUCCUGGCUACUGAGACAGUUUUCCUUGCCAGUAAGAUCACUCUGUUUUUUCAGUGAUGUGUAAGAAAUUGAAGAGAAUGAAAAAGAUUCUAGAAUAAUGGACUCAAACAGCAUAGUUCUUGUUUUCAAAGUAAGCAGCAAAUGAUUCUAUAAGCUAAUACCUGGUUGAGAAUAGUUUUGAUUCUUGAUAAGAUUCUAAAAUAGAUUAUUACAGAGGUAGAUUAUGAAUACCUAAAAAAAAAAAA